This 370-nucleotide ribosomal RNA is filed under the name uncultured organism. RNAcentral's name for it is "partial 16S ribosomal RNA". It matches the Rfam family "Bacterial small subunit ribosomal RNA", at positions 527 to 896 of the family's 1533-position model. The record is from RNAcentral.
GUAGGUGGCAAGCGUUGUCCGGAAUUAUUGGGCGUAAAGCGCGCGCAGGCGGUCCUUUAAGUCUGGUGUGAAAGCCCACGGCUCAACCGUGGAGGGUCAUUGGAAAUUGGGGACUUGAGUACAGAAGAGGAAAGCGGAAUUCCAAGUGUAGCGGUGAAAUGCGUAGAGAUUUGGAGGAACACCAGUGGCGAAGGCGGCUUUCUGGUCUGUAACUGACGCUGAGGCGCGAAAGCGUGGGGAGCAAACAGGAUUAGAUACCCUGGUAGUCCAGCCGUAAACGAUGAGUGCUAAGUGUUAGGGGUUUCCCGCCCCCUUAGUGCUGCAGCUAACGCAUUAAGCACUCCGCCUGGGGAGUACGGCCGCAAGGCUG